UACGUAGGGGCUAGCGUUAUCCGGAAUUACUGGGCGUAAAGGGUGCGUAGGUGGUUUCUUAAGUCAGAGGUGAAAGGCUACGGCUCAACCGUAGUAAGCCUUUGAAACUGGGAAACUUGAGUGCAGGAGAGGAGAGUGGAAUUCCUAGUGUAGCGGUGAAAUGCGUAGAUAUUAGGAGGAACACCAGUUGCGAAGGCGGCUCUCUGGACUGUAACUGACACUGAGGCACGAAAGCGUGGGGAGCAAACAGGAUUAGAUACCCCCGUAGUCCCUGAGCGGGCU
RNAcentral lists this ribosomal RNA (282 nucleotides) under uncultured prokaryote. Its description in RNAcentral is "partial 16S ribosomal RNA". It matches the Rfam family "Bacterial small subunit ribosomal RNA", at positions 524 to 817 of the family's 1533-position model. The record is from RNAcentral.